Mustela erminea (ermine) is the source of this 242-nucleotide long non-coding RNA. RefSeq lists it as uncharacterized. The record is from RefSeq and is a predicted model, not a curated record. The transcript is spliced from 3 exons. Lineage: Eukaryota; Metazoa; Chordata; Mammalia; Carnivora; Mustelidae.
AGAAAGUUUCUGCAAGCCCUCAGGCUCCUAGACACAGAUAAUAGGCAGCUAGAAGAUGGCUGGGGCAAGUUAAAAUGUAAAGUGUAAACACUCAGGCAUAAUCCAUGUGGCCCUGACAACAUGACUUCACCUUCUGAUGACGCUGCAACAAGAUCAUCCAUGAACCAUGCAAAAAUAGGUCUUUACCAAGAUGCAUAUGCACAUUUUACAACACAAACAGGAACAACAAUGGCAAAAACUCU